This 498-nucleotide ribosomal RNA is filed under the name uncultured bacterium. RNAcentral describes it as "partial 16S ribosomal RNA". It matches the Rfam family "Bacterial small subunit ribosomal RNA", at positions 28 to 507 of the family's 1533-position model. The record is from RNAcentral.
GACGAACGCUGGCGGCGUGCCUAAUACAUGCAAGUCGAGCGGACGAAUCGAAAGCUUGCUUUUGAUUCGUUAGCGGCGGACGGGUGAGUAACACGUGGGCAACCUGCCCUGUAGACGGGGAUAACACCGAGAAAUCGGUGCUAAUACCGGAUAACACGAAAUGUCGCAUGACGUUUCGUUGAAAGACGGCGCAAGCUGUCGCUACAGGAUGGGCCCGCGGCGCAUUAGCUAGUUGGUGAGGUAACGGCUCACCAAGGCGACGAUGCGUAGCCGACCUGAGAGGGUGAUCGGCCACACUGGGACUGAGACACGGCCCAGACUCCUACGGGAGGCAGCAGUAGGGAAUCUUCCGCAAUGGACGAAAGUCUGACGGAGCAACGCCGCGUGAGCGAAGAAGGCCUUCGGGUCGUAAAGCUCUGUUGUUAGGGAAGAACAAGUAACGCAGUAACUGGCGUUACCGUGACGAUACCUAACGAGAAAGCCACGGCUAACUACGUG